This 831-nucleotide ribosomal RNA is filed under the name Aspergillus sydowii. RNAcentral's name for it is "eukaryotic LSU rRNA". It matches the Rfam family "Eukaryotic large subunit ribosomal RNA", at positions 83 to 928 of the family's 3401-position model. Lineage: Eukaryota; Fungi; Ascomycota; Eurotiomycetes; Eurotiales; Aspergillaceae. The record is from RNAcentral.
GUAACGGCGAGUGAAGCGGCAGAGCUCAAAUUUGAAAUCUGGCCCCUCCGGGGUCCGAGUUGUAAUUUGCAGAGGAUGCUUCGGGUGCGGCCCCUGUCUAAGUGCCCUGGAACGGGCCGUCAGAGAGGGUGAGAAUCCCCGUCUUGGGCAGAGUGCCCGUGCCCGUGUGAGGCUCCUUCGACGAGUCGAGUUGUUUGGGAAUGCAGCUCAAAAUGGGUUGGUUAAUUUCAUCUAAAGCUAAAUACCGGCCGGAGACCGAUAGCGCACAAGUAGAGUGAUCGAAAGAUGAAAAGCACUUUGAAAAGAGAGUUAAACAGCACGUGAAAUUGUUGAAAGGGAAGCGCUUGCAACCAGACUCGGCCUCGGGGUUCAGCCAGCAUUCGUGCUGGUGUACUUCCCCGGGGCCGGGCCAGCGUCGGUUUGGGCGGCCGGUCAAAGGCCCCAGGAAUGUAUCGUCCUCCGGGACGUCUUAUAGCCUGGGGUGCAAUGCGGCCAGCCUGGACCGAGGAACGCGCUUCGGCACGGACGCUGGCGUAAUGGUCGCAAACGACCCGUCUUGAAACACGGACCACAGGAGUCUUAACAUCUACGCGAGUGUUCGGGUGUCAAACCCGUACGCGCAGUGAAAGCGAACGGAGGUGGGAGCCCCCCCGGGGCGCACCAUCGACCGAUCCUGAUGUCUUCGGAUGGAUUUGAGUACGAGCGUAGCUGUGGGGACCCGAAAGAUGGUGAACUAUGCCUGAAUAGGGUGAAGCCAGAGGAAACUCUGGUGGAGGCUCGCAGCGGUUCUGACGUGCAAAUCGAUCGUCAAAUUUGGGUAUAGGGGCGAAA